RNAcentral lists this ribosomal RNA (506 nucleotides) under uncultured bacterium. RNAcentral describes it as "partial 16S ribosomal RNA". It matches the Rfam family "Bacterial small subunit ribosomal RNA", at positions 28 to 523 of the family's 1533-position model. The record is from RNAcentral.
GAUGAACGCUAGCCACAGGCUUAACACAUGCAAGUCGAGGGGUAACGAGAGGGAAGCUUGCUUUCCUUGUCGACGACCGGCGCACGGGUGAGUAACGCGUAUCCAACCUGCCCCCAACUAGGGAAUAACCUUGCGAAAGUAAGACUAAUACCCUAUAAUUUCCUCAGAUGUCAUCUGACGAGGAAUAAAGAUUUAUCGGUUGUGGAUGGGGAUGCGUCUGAUUAGCUUGUUGGCGGGGUAACGGCCCACCAAGGCAACGAUCAGUAGGGGUUCUGAGAGGAAGGUCCCCCACAUUGGAACUGAGACACGGUCCAAACUCCUACGGGAGGCAGCAGUGAGGAAUAUUGGUCAAUGGGCGGAAGCUUGAACCAGCCAAGUAGCGUGCAGGAUGACGGCCCUAUGGGUUGUAAACUGCUUUUAUACAGGAAUAAAGUUAGCCACGUGUGGUUAUUUGUAGGUACUGUAUGAAUAAGGACCGGCUAAUUCCGUGCCAGCAGCCGCAGUAA